This 686-nucleotide long non-coding RNA is filed under the name Equus caballus (horse). RNAcentral's name for it is "lncRNA (ENSECAG00000035480.3)". Lineage: Eukaryota; Metazoa; Chordata; Mammalia; Perissodactyla; Equidae. The record is from RNAcentral.
AUUAUCUCUCAAAGGUCCCACCUCCAAAGACCAUCACAUUGGAAAUUAGGUAUUCUACAUAUGAAUUUUCGGGGGACAAAAAUAUUCAAUCCAUAGCCCUCUGGCUCAUCCCAGCUGAUUUAGGGCUGACUUGUUAAUAAGCAAGCAGUUAGGAAGACAUACUAAGCUCAAACGCAAAAGUUUGUAGCUUUUGUUCUCAAAGAUGGUUGCUACACUUCUAAGCACUGAGUCUCUCUUCCAAUCAAGAAGAAGGAAGAAAGAAUUAAAGGUUAAAGAGAUAAAAGUAGGAUAAAAUACCACUCUAAGAGGACUAAGAAAAGCAACCAGCCCACCAUCCUUAGGUGCUUUCCAAAAGUCAUCUCAUCAGCUUGACAGAAGACACCUUUAUCACUGUCAACACUUCCGAAAUUCCAAGGGUUUUGGGAGCAAUGAGCCAGGAACAUGGAGGAAAACCAAAGCCAAUGAAAAUAAGUUGAUUCCUCAUAAUUUUCCUCUGGCCUUGAUCCUCAGGAAUCCCAGAGUAUUUAAAGAUGACUUUCUUCCCUUCGAGAAUGACUUCAAGUGCUUUGUUUUUGCCAUUUGCUGCUUGGAAUACGGUUUCCUCAUCUUAUCCCAAAGGGUGAGAAUCUAAGUUUCAAGUUUCCUUGAUUGCUACCUCUGUCAUAAAGCCUUUCAUAAGGUCCUCC